GGUUAAGUUAGAAAGGGCGCACGGUGGAUGCCUUGGCACUAGGAGCCGAAGAAGGACGGGACUAACACCGAUAUGCUUUGGGGAGCUGUACGUAAGCGUUGAUCCAGAGAUUUCCGAAUGGGGGAACCCACUAUCUUUAGUCGGAUAGUAUCCUUACGUGAAUACAUAGCGUGAGGAAGGCAGACCCAGGGAACUGAAACAUCUAAGUACCUGGAGGAAGAGAAAGAAAAAUCGAUUUCCUGAGUAGCGGCGAGCGAAACGGAAAGAGCCCAAACCAAGAAGCUUGCUUCUUGGGGUUGUAGGACACUCUAUACGGAGUUACAAAAGAAAGUUAUAAAUGAAGCGGUCUGGAAAGGCCCGCCAAAGACGGUAACAGCCCGGUAGUUGAAAUGGCUUUCCCUCCAGAGUGGAUCCUGAGUACGGCGGAACACGUGAAAUUCCGUCGGAAUCCGGGAGGACCAUCUCCCAAGGCUAAAUACUCCCUA
This 485-nucleotide ribosomal RNA is filed under the name Listeria monocytogenes. RNAcentral's name for it is "partial 23S ribosomal RNA". It matches the Rfam family "Bacterial large subunit ribosomal RNA", at positions 1 to 479 of the family's 2925-position model. The record is from RNAcentral. Lineage: Bacteria; Bacillati; Bacillota; Bacilli; Caryophanales; Listeriaceae.